RNAcentral lists this ribosomal RNA (459 nucleotides) under uncultured bacterium. Its description in RNAcentral is "partial 16S ribosomal RNA". It matches the Rfam family "Bacterial small subunit ribosomal RNA", at positions 338 to 795 of the family's 1533-position model. The record is from RNAcentral.
CCUACGGGUGGCAGCAGUGAGGAAUAUUGGUCAAUGGCCGAGAGUCUGAACCAGCCACGUCGCGUGAGGGAAGAAUGUCCUAGGGAUGGUAAACCUCUUUUGUCAGGGAGCAAAGUCACCCACGUGUGGGUGUAGGAGAGUACCUGAAGAAAAAGCAUCGGCUAACGCCGUGCCAGCAGCCGCGGUAAUACGGAGGAUGCGAGCGUUAUCCGGAUUUAUUGGGUUUAAAGGGUGCGUAGGCGGGUUAUCAAGUCAGCGGUAAAAUCGUGGACCUCAACUCCGUACAGCCGUUGAAACUGAUGAUCUUGAGUGGGCGAGAGGUAUGUGGAAUGCGUGGUGUAGCGGUGAAAUGCGUAGAUAUCACGAAGAACUCCGAUUGCGAAGGCAGCAUGCCGGCGCCUGACUGACGCUGAUGCACGAAAGCGUGGGUAUCGAACAGGAUUAGAUACCCGAGUAGUC